GACGUAGGUGGCGAACGUUAUCCGGAAUUAUUGGGCGUAAAGGGUGCGUAGGUGGCCUGACAAGUUAUCAGUGGCAAAUCCAGGCUCAACCUCGUGGAAACUGGUAAUACUGUUCGGCUUGAGUACAGGAGAGGUUAACGGAACUCUAUGUGGAGCGGUAAAAUGCACAGAUAUAUAGAAGAACAUCAAGAAAGGCGAAGGCAGUUAACUAUUCUGUUACUGACGCUGAGGCACGAAAGCGUGGGGAGCAAAACGG
RNAcentral lists this ribosomal RNA (256 nucleotides) under uncultured bacterium. RNAcentral describes it as "partial 16S ribosomal RNA". It matches the Rfam family "Bacterial small subunit ribosomal RNA", at positions 524 to 776 of the family's 1533-position model. The record is from RNAcentral.